This 253-nucleotide ribosomal RNA is filed under the name uncultured bacterium. RNAcentral's name for it is "partial 16S ribosomal RNA". It matches the Rfam family "Bacterial small subunit ribosomal RNA", at positions 524 to 776 of the family's 1533-position model. The record is from RNAcentral.
UACGGGGGGGGGAAGCGUUGUUCGGAAUUACUGGGCGUAAAGGGCGCGUAGGCGGCCUUCUAAGUCGGACGUGAAAGCCCCAGGCUUAACCUGGGAACUGCGUCCGAUACUGGGAGGCUUGGAUUCGGGAGAGGGAUGUGGAAUUCCAGGUGUAGCGGUGAAAUGCGUAGAUAUCUGGAGGAACACCGGUGGCGAAGGCGGCAUCCUGGACCGAGAUCGACGCUGAGGCGCGAAAGCUAGGGGAGCAAACGGG